GAGGUCGUGACGAUAGUUACGCGGAGGAGUGUGGUAGUCACAAGUUGUGGGCCACAAUAGUGUCAUGUCGGCUGCUGAUAAUUUAGCUGUAAUUAAAAUAUAAGAACUGUGGCCUGAUAUUCACCGAGACGCUGUACUACCGGCAUAACCUAAAGAAUCAGCGAGAUGGAAAUUGUGGAUGCUGGUCAUGAUUUAUGAAGUGUGCGGUAAUUAAUAAUGAACACUGAAAAUGUUGAAUGUAGUGAACAGUGAAAGUGAACGGUGAUAAAUAAAGAGUGAUAGAUUCGAAGAGUGAAUUUGUGAACGUUAUAGGCCUAUUAUAUUUAUAUGCGUAUUAUAAUAAUGUGUGUUCAUUUUUUUUUGUGUAUCAUACUUCGUAUAAUAAAUAAUAUUAGCUGUA
Long non-coding RNA from Penaeus monodon (black tiger shrimp), 400 nucleotides. RefSeq lists it as uncharacterized. The transcript has 2 exons. The record is from RefSeq and is a predicted model, not a curated record. NCBI's taxonomy places the organism in Eukaryota, Metazoa, Arthropoda, Malacostraca, Decapoda, Penaeidae.